Rhincodon typus (whale shark) is the source of this 994-nucleotide long non-coding RNA. RefSeq lists it as uncharacterized. Lineage: Eukaryota; Metazoa; Chordata; Chondrichthyes; Orectolobiformes; Rhincodontidae. The transcript is spliced from 4 exons. The record is from RefSeq and is a predicted model, not a curated record.
ACCAGAAGUGAUGGCAACCAUCCCAGCAAACUGAGGUAUAUAAAUAACAAGCGGGAAAGAACACUAAAGCUUCCCUGGAGACACACUGAGGAUGUUACCUACUCAAAAACCUUAGGGUGACGAAACGUUUACAAUCAAACACACAGGCUUGCCAGUCAUGGAGCUUUCCAUCCACAGCAAGACCCAAUAGGAAUGACAUUCGUGGUGGUUAUCAAGGUCCCUCAAGCUCCCUCAUCUCUUACAUUUGACACAUCUUUGUGCAUUUAGACUCAUUGAGGUAGUCAUCAGUUCCAAAAGACUGUGUUGGCUACUCACCAGAACAAUCAUCUUCCAUUCAGGAAGGCAACUUGGUUUUUGCUGCAGAAGUCAACAGUUCCACUCAAUGAUUGGCUGACCUCAGGCCUAAACAGGAUUCUUUCACACUGCUGCCAAUGGAACUGCCAAAGCCCAACAAUGAAUGAAGGCCUUCACCACCACAAGGAUAAAGAGAACCAUAAUUCAGGAUAGGAGAAAGUAAACCUGAUAUGAUCAGUAGUAUGGACAUGAUAUUGGCUCUGUGGUCUCACGUUAAAGGUAAAUCCUUUUACAUUUAAGUAGCUUAGCAAUUAAAAUCCUGGAUUCACAUUUCUUUGAAGGCUGCUCUGAUGAUUUAUUCAUAAAUGCAGUUAUUUUUGCCAGUUCUGUGCAGAUCUGAUGGGAGAGAUCAUCCGUGAAAAGAUUGGCACUUGACAACUUUGUACACUAAGGAAAAUAUUAUUUUCCACAGCGUGGUAUCAUUAAAAUCAAAAGUAGAAUUCUGGCUGUUAACUCCCUCUUCUUUCUGAUGAAAUAUGAUGCACCAAGACUAACAACUAUAAUAAGAAAAGAAAUGUGGUAAAAUAUCAGCAUAAUCCCAUUUCUUUUCGGUUGUUAAACUCCACACAUGCUUCCCCACUGUACAUUAACAAGUCAUAGUCUUCCACUACUAUCUAGCAUGACCACCCCCCUGCCCCCC